AUUGAACGCUGGCGGCAGGCCUAACACAUGCAAGUCGAGCGAGCGGCGGACGGGUGUGUAAUGUAUGGGGACUGCCCUAUAGAGGGGGAUAACUACUGGAAACGGUAGCUAAUACCGCAAACUAUCGGAUAACCUAUAUGGGAGUAGCUAGUAGGUGAGGUAAUGGCUCACCUAGGCGACGAUACCUAGCUGGUCUGAGAGGAUGAUCAGCAACACUGGGACGGGGACACGGCCCAGACUCCUACGGAGGCAGCAGUGGGGAAUAUUGCACAAUGGGCGAAAGCCUGAUGCAGCCAUGCCGCGUGUAUGAAGAAGGCCCUAGGGUUGUAAAGUACUUUCAGUCGGGAGGCGUUACCGACAGAAGAAGCACCGGCUAACUCCGUGCCAGCAGCCGCGGUAAUUC
This 403-nucleotide ribosomal RNA is filed under the name uncultured bacterium. RNAcentral describes it as "partial 16S ribosomal RNA". It matches the Rfam family "Bacterial small subunit ribosomal RNA", at positions 30 to 526 of the family's 1533-position model. The record is from RNAcentral.